GACGAACGCUGGCGGCGUGCCUAAUACAUGCAAGUAGAACGCUGAAGGAGGAGCUUGCUCUUUCCGGAUGAGUUGCGAACGGGUGAGUAACGCGUAGGUAACCUGCCUGGUAGCGGGGGAUAACUAUUGGAAACGAUAGCUAAUACCGCAUAAGAGUAGAUAUCGCAUGAUAGCUGCUUGAAAGGUGCAAUUGCACCACUACCAGAUGGACCUGCGUUGUAUUAGCUAGUUGGUGAGGUAACGGCUCACCAAGGCAACGAUACAUAGCCGACCUGAGAGGGUGAUCGGCCACACUGUGACUGAGACACGGCCCAGACUCCUACGGGAGGCAGCAGUAGGGAAUCUUCGGCAAUGGACGGAAGUCUGACCGAGCAACGCCGCGUGAGUGAAGAAGGUUUUCGGAUCGUAAAGCUCUGUUGUAAGAGAAGAACGAGUGUGAGAGU
RNAcentral lists this ribosomal RNA (443 nucleotides) under Streptococcus infantis. Its description in RNAcentral is "bacterial SSU rRNA". It matches the Rfam family "Bacterial small subunit ribosomal RNA", at positions 28 to 462 of the family's 1533-position model. The record is from RNAcentral. Lineage: Bacteria; Bacillati; Bacillota; Bacilli; Lactobacillales; Streptococcaceae.